AUCUGCAUUAGGAUCUGCCUUAGAGACACUCACUGGAGCUGUAAAUGGAAGCAGGUCACUUACUUUGCAUUCGUCCUUGGUGGUCACCCCAGGGUCUCUAGAGUGAAAAUUACUCAAUCUAUGGAUUAAACAGAAAAUUUAGUUUUAUGAAGUGCAAUUUGGGACAUUCUUCCAGUUGUCGGCAACUUUGUGAAAAGGGCUGGAAACUAAAAUGCAGAAUUCUGGCCUGGUGUUUGGUCUGUGCUGUCUUUGACUCUUGCAUCUCCAUCAUCCUGACCCUCUUUAGCAGCCUGUCCAUGUAUUUAUUCGGAGGCCACCAUGAGCACCCAUCUGCAUAAUAUGACUUUGUUA
Molecule: long non-coding RNA, 351 nt
Organism: Paramisgurnus dabryanus
Lineage: Eukaryota; Metazoa; Chordata; Actinopteri; Cypriniformes; Cobitidae
Source: RefSeq, a predicted model, not a curated record